Long non-coding RNA from Manis javanica (Malayan pangolin), 1182 nucleotides. RefSeq lists it as uncharacterized. NCBI's taxonomy places the organism in Eukaryota, Metazoa, Chordata, Mammalia, Pholidota, Manidae. The record is from RefSeq and is a predicted model, not a curated record.
CAUUAUCUUCCCAGCUCCACAGUUUGCAUUAGGGGUCCCUCCUGGUGUUGUACCUUCCAUGGGACUUGAUGUUGUACAUCAGCAGUUGCCCCAGGGAAGUCUAUCCAAAUGAAAUGGGCAAGGCUGGUGAUGCUAACCUAUUUCCAAAUGACCUGCUUUGGAGAAGAGUGUGUAAGAUUGAGGAGAAGUGCAAAAGAAAGAAGGAAAGGCAAGAAGGAAGAAAGGAGAGAGAGAAAAGAGAAAGGACUACCCCCUCGCCCCCAGUUUGUGAAGCUCUUCACAGAUGGAGAAUAUUGCAUAUCCAUUUCACGUUAAACGACAUCUCAAGAUCAACGACCUUAUUCAAGAAAGAAAAUAUCUUGGUCAAUUUCAGUGUGUGUGUAUCAACAGAUUCCAGGUGAUGGACAGGUCGCUUCAUUUUGAUCUUCUGUUGGUGUAGAGUGACCUUGGCCUUUCCAGAAGAGACUGCAUUCUGGGUGUCACACGUGAUGAAGGCAUAUGCCAGUCAAGCAUAUCCAGAAGAGGACAUCCAAGAAGGAGGGGCAGGCAACAAGAACUGGGACUCUCUCGCCCUGUGAGGCAUGGCUUCAUAAGAAUCUGGUAGCUGCUGUCUGACCCUUGAUGAGCCAACAGUGGUGCCCACGGGAACUACCUACCCUGCUGGAGGUGAAGUCUCGGGUCUUAGCACGAAGCUUAUUGACUUGAGAUUCUGCAAUAUCAGCACGUUCCUCAGCCUCCUCGAGUUCAUGCUGGGCUUUUCGGAAUUUGGUGAGAUGAGCGUUGGCUUGUUCAUCCUGAAACCGAAGAGUAAGACCGCCUCCUCAGCCUGCCUCUUGUAGGACUUGACUUUCACUUGAAGUUUAUCCACCAGAUCCUGUAAUCUCAGCACAUUCUUCCUGUCCUCUUCACUCUAAAGGGAGAGACCUAGGUUGGUGUUUGCACUUGACGGAGAAAAUGCCUAUCCGGUUUUCUUUCCACUUACCUGGGCUAGCUGCUCAGCCUCAUCCAGACGGAGCUGCAGGUCCUUCACCGUCUGCUCCAGGUUCUUCUUCAUCCGCUCCAGCAUUCCUUGCGUCCCUGCUGGCGUCUUCCACCUCACUCUGGAGCUGCGUGAGAUCCGUCUCCAGCUUCUUCUUGGUGUGGAUGAGGCUGGUGUUCUAGGGCGAGAGGAGCGGUGUCACC